Molecule: unclassified non-coding RNA, 221 nt
Filed under: uncultured fungus
Lineage: Eukaryota; Fungi
Description: partial contains 5.8S ribosomal RNA, internal transcribed spacer 2, and large subunit ribosomal RNA
Source: RNAcentral
AACGCACAUUGCGCCUCUCUUAACCGGGAGGCAUGCCUGUCCGAGCGUCGUUUUAAUCCAUAGACCUCUAUUGGGGUCUGUGUUGGGUCUCGCCCUGAGGGCGUCGCCUGAAAGACAUUGGUCUGGUGAGCGGAUGAGUUCCAUUAGGACCGGCCGCCCUAGGACCUUAAAGACACCUCUGACCCGGCCUCGGAUCAGGUAGGAUUACCGCCUGAACUUAA